GUGUCAGCAGCCGCGGUAAUACGUAGGGGGCAAGCGUUGUCCGGAUUUACUGGGUGUAAAGGGCGCGCAGGCGGGUUUGCAAGUCAGUGGUGAAAGCCUAUAGCUUAACUAUAGAACUGCCAUUGAUACUGCAGAUCUUGAGUACGGAAGAGAGAGACGGAAUUCCAGGUGUAGUGGUGAAAUACGUAGAUAUCUGGAAGAACACCAGUUGCGAAGGCGGUCUCUUGGUCCGAUACUGACGCUGAGGCGCGAAAGCGUGGGGAGCAAACAGGAUUAGAAACCCCCGUAGUCC
RNAcentral lists this ribosomal RNA (292 nucleotides) under uncultured bacterium. RNAcentral describes it as "partial 16S ribosomal RNA". It matches the Rfam family "Bacterial small subunit ribosomal RNA", at positions 505 to 796 of the family's 1533-position model. The record is from RNAcentral.